This 228-nucleotide ribosomal RNA is filed under the name uncultured bacterium. Its description in RNAcentral is "partial 16S ribosomal RNA". It matches the Rfam family "Bacterial small subunit ribosomal RNA", at positions 524 to 750 of the family's 1533-position model. The record is from RNAcentral.
GACGGGGGGGCAAGGUGUUCUUCGGAAUGACUGGGCGUAAAGGGCACGUAGGCGGUGAAUCGGGUUGAAAGUGAAAGUCGCCAAAAAGUGGCGGAAUGCUCUCGAAACCAAUUCACUUGGAGUAGACAGAGGAGAGUGGAAUUUCGUGUGUAGGGGUGAAAUCCGUAGAUCGUACGAAGGAACGCCAAAAGCGAAGGCGAGCUCUCAUGGGUCCCUACCGACGCUGGG